GACGAACGCUGGCGGCGUGCCUAAUACAUGCAAGUAGAACGCACAGUUUAUACCGUAGCUUGCUACACCAUAGACUGUGAGUUGCGAACGGGUGAGUAACGCGUAGGUAACCUGCCUGGUAGCGGGGGAUAACUAUUGGAAACGAUAGCUAAUACCGCAUAAUAUUAAUUAUUGCAUGAUAAUUAAUUGAAAGGUGCAAUUGCACCACUACCAGAUGGACCUGCGUUGUAUUAGCUAGUAGGUGAGGUAACGGCUCACCUAGGCGACGAUACAUAGCCGACCUGAGAGGGUGGUCGGCCACACUGGGAGUGAGACACGGCCCAGACUCCUACGGGAGGCAGCAGUAGGGAAUCUUCGGCAAUGGACGAAAGUCUGACCGAGCAACGCCGCGUGAGUGAAGAAGGUUUUCGGAUCGUAAAGCUCUGUUGUAAGAGAAGAACGGGUGUGAGAGUGGAAAGUUCACACUGUGACGGUAUCUUACCAGAAAGGGACGGCUAACUACGUG
RNAcentral lists this ribosomal RNA (505 nucleotides) under uncultured bacterium. RNAcentral's name for it is "partial 16S ribosomal RNA". It matches the Rfam family "Bacterial small subunit ribosomal RNA", at positions 28 to 507 of the family's 1533-position model. The record is from RNAcentral.